UGAGUAACCAAUACCUGAACGUACCCGAUCUCAUCUGAUCUCGGAAGCUAAGCAGGGUCGGGCCUGGUUAGUACUUGGAUGGGAGGAUUUUUUUUUUUAGAGAUUUAUUUAUUUACUUAA
Ochotona princeps (American pika) is the source of this 120-nucleotide ribosomal RNA. Lineage: Eukaryota; Metazoa; Chordata; Mammalia; Lagomorpha; Ochotonidae. The record is from Ensembl.